UACAGAGGGGGCGAGCGUUGUUCGGAAUUACUGGGCGUAAAGGGCGCGUAGGCGGCCGGCUAAGUCAGACGUUAAAUCCCCAGGCUCAACCUGGGAACUGCGUCUGAGACUGGACGGCUCGAAUCCGGGAGAGGGAUGUGGAAUUCCAGGGGUAGCGGUGAAAUGCGUAGAUAUCUGGAGGAACACCGGUGGCGAAGGCGGCAUCCUGGACCGGUAUUGACGCUGAGGCGCGAAAGCCAGGGGAGCAAACGGG
RNAcentral lists this unclassified non-coding RNA (253 nucleotides) under uncultured Acidobacteriota bacterium. RNAcentral describes it as "uncultured Acidobacteria bacterium contains 16S-23S intergenic spacer region". It matches the Rfam family "Bacterial small subunit ribosomal RNA", at positions 524 to 776 of the family's 1533-position model. Lineage: Bacteria; Pseudomonadati; Acidobacteriota. The record is from RNAcentral.